CGUUAACCCGUACUAAGGCUAGGGUGGCUGAGUGUAAAUACAUGGCUCUGAGUGUAAGCACCUUUUCACAAGAAACUUUCUUGUGUUCAAAUGACCGUCAGUGCGAAAUAGCUAGAAAGCUUUCGUAUUUCAACUUGGCUGCACCUACGGUUAUGAGAACGAUCAAUCAUGUGUACUACCUGCGUCGACCUGUGACUGGCAGAAAAAAACGGAAAGUGUCUAGGCUACCGGAAUGUUACAAGAACAAGGAUGGUUACAUGACAUUCGGCCAUGUGACAUUUGUUGUUUAUAGAUUUUUCGCCCACACAUCGACCCUGGACAGAUAACAGAAGGUGAGAGGGACCCUAGGAGGGACGUAAAGGAGUUGAUGAAAUCCUGUUAAGACAGACAAUCAGAUGGUAUGGCCUCUGAAGACCCCCAAGACCAACUGGAUGAGGCUAUUAAAAAGGCAGAACGCCUUGCCGAGGAGCUCAACCAAGAAAAGGACCCACAAGCCCAACUGGACGAGGCCAUUAACGAGGCAAAAAGACUGGCUGAGGAGCUCAACCCAGAACGGGAAAAUAAGAAGAACAAGACAAACAAGCCUCCAUGGAUUAGGUUCAGAUGGAGACAAAGGGAUGAGAGAGGACAGAUUGUUCCUCAAACCAGGAAGGCAACUAAAUCCACUUCUCUUGCUCCAAGGGCCAGUACAUCAAGAGCCAGACUAGUGCAACCUUCUGGACCAGUCACUGAGGAGGAAGAAUCAGAGACAAGGACCAGUGGAUUGGAAUCCACUCCAGUUUUAAACAUUGAUGAAGAAAUAGCUAUACUUUAUAGAGAAAUGAACAUCCUCCUAGCUGACUUAGAAGACCCUGAGUGUUCAAAUCCUGCUGUGCCUGGUGCAUCACACAGUUGGAGUGUGAGGAAGGAACUCUCACAGGAGGGAGUCCAGGCCUGAGAUUGUAGAUUCUCUGCUGGCUGCAGAGCAUGUUUCUCAGAAGAUCUGUCAGUCAUGCAAUGUGAAAAGGGCUAUUCUGCGAUGUAGAGACUCUGCCGAAACAGCUUUACUGCGAAGACUGCGAUGUCUCUACACAUGCAAUGUUCCCCCUGCACAACAGAGAGUCCAUGAUCGAGGGGUUCUACACGCCCCUUCCUCCAACUACAGCCAUAUCGCUCUCCACAGUGAUGGCAAAUAUACACUUCAUGAACAGGAUUGUUUCUUACCAUUGGAUGUACCAGAGGUGAUAUGUGGUUGCCUGACAAGCACCAUCCAUGUUGGCCCUGGGAAACAUAUAAUACUCGUAGGAAUAAAUGGUCGCUACAAUGUCACAGUGCCUGUGCUUACCUGCACAACCUGUCUUAGCACCUGGACAGCAAACUUGGCAGAUCUGAUAAAGAAUGGGUACUGUGACACCAUAUACCAGGUAGAUGUGUUCAGCUCUUUUGAGGAGCUGGAAGUGUCAGCCCCAGGAAUGUCCCGUCUGGCGUUUUAUGCGGAUUUUGGAGCAGCGAACUGACUCCUUUGGCAGGAACGGAAUGAUCUGUGGGGACACUUUUCAAAAAAGCUUCUUUGAGUGGACGUACUGCCGCUCUGAAAUGGAUUAGGUCUGUGAUAUACAGGACUUUGACUGCCCAGCCUGGUCUGUGAUAUACAGGACUUUGACUGCCCAGCCUGGUCUGUGAUAUACAGGACUUUGACUGCCCAGCCUGGUCUGUGAUAUACAGGACUUUGACUGCCCAGCCUGGUCUGUGAUAUACAGGACUUUGACUGCCCAGCCUGGUCUGUGAUAUACAGGACUUUGACUGCCCAGCCUGGUCUGUGAUAUACAGGACUUUGACUGCCCAGGCUGGUCUGUGAUAUACAGGACUUUGACUGCCCAGCCUGUUCACCCAGCAUGCUUGCAGUGUCAGUGGACGGGAACAAGAAGCUGUAUAGCUGUAUCGAUUCAAAAAAGGGUUAUGGAAAAGGAGUAUGUGGAGCAUCCCAGUGGACAGCAGCUAAAGAGUCAUCAAGGAAAACAAACGACAAACUUGAUGAAGAGGGACUCGAAGUAGCCGUCUCUCGCCAUGGAAUACUUCUAAGGAGCCUCAACAUGAUGCGUGGAGAGAUAUUUGCAUAUCCACUGUUCUUGCAGAAGGAAUUGUCUGGCAGCAGGAACAUACAAUUCAUGUGUAUGUGAUCUGCAAAUUUUGGCCAUACCUGACCAAAGUUGCCCUUCAUUGUCCAGAGCUCGCCACUCUUCUAGACAUGAAGCCACUUUCUGUCAUGCAAAGGCACAUCGUUUGAAAUGCGAGGUCAGUGUUUCUUUAUUAAACUGUUCAAAGAGAAUUUCCAGCUUCAGUCCUUUACAAGGCUUCCCAUUUAGAUGUUUGUUAUUCACAGAAUUGCAAUAUCAAGUCUAUAUUUAAAAAAAAAAGUAAAUUAAGAUUAAGUGGGGAGGACAGAAUCAGGAAGGAGCUGGCACAACUCUGGGGGAGGAAGUGGAACAAGGGAACAGCUUCUUAUCGAGGGCUGCAAUCUGUUCCAAGCAAAUGUCCAAAGGAGGUAAACAUUUUGUUUAAGGUUGUUCUAUUCAGCUAUGUUAAUACUUAUCUGGAAUAAGGAGUUCUAUUUGGCAUUUCUAGUAAGAACAGACAUGCUAACCAUCCAGGCUAUGGGGUGGAACAGAAGGAAGAAAAAACCUGCACAAAGUAUUGUCCAGAAGAUACUUGAAGGUGUAUUGUGUGGAUCAAUACAUUUAUUUUAGAAGUAUUAUAUCUAUGGAUUUAAUUUAUUUAAAAACAAUUAGUUAUUCUGUUUAGUUUUUGUCAUAAUUCUCAGACAACAGCAAAAAUCCAGGAGGAGACCCAGACUCUCAAAGUUUAAGAGUGAUUUGGGUGUUAGGCGAUGAGACUCUGUACAACAGAAGUUCAACAAUGGGAUAAUACAGGUAAAUGAAUACAAAAUAUAAAUAAUCCUAAAUGUAACUCUCCUGGACUGUCACCUUGACGUAGUGGAGAGGCUUGUGUACGCCAAUGACUCAGAGCUAACCCUCAGAGGGUGUAUUCCACCGACACGUGCAAUCAAGCCGGACGGGUAGGAGGCAGACUAAACAUUCCCUGGUUAUCCAGGUUGGGGCUCAUUCACCGCCCACAUAACAAGUCAUUUGUUACAGAAACCUUCACAGGCCCUAUGUUCCUCCAAGAAGUGAGUGCAUCUUUUCAGCGUUGGAGAUACAUUGUUAAUUUAUAGAUGUACUGUAUUUCAGAGGAUACAAAUGAUAACAUGGGACGGUCCCCAGGUACUACAGAGAACAAUGUAAGUCCUGUUAGCAUCAAACAAAGGAAACAGAACCUCUAUUUCCUGAAUAUUGAAUUGCACACACUUCAUUUCUCGUUAAUUUCAAAGCCAUGCAAUGUAGCAAAUAAUUUAAUUCUCCUUUUGUUUUGAUGAGAUGGAUGUUUUGUUAUCCGUGUUUGUUCAGUUGCGUAAACACAGACAGCACUUGUGAAUUUACAGCUGACCUACUCACAAAGACAAUAGCCUUUGACCGGGUGAUGCUCCUGAGACGGCUGAAGGAGGAGGAGUUAAUUGUCCUAAAGGAAGUCUAGCAGCACUGGGAAAGCCUAAAGAGGGAAUUGGAGAAUGUGCAAGACCUUGCUUCACAUGUGGCACUUGACCUAAGCAGGCAAAGCUGGCAAUUGAAUCAGUCGGAAGCUGGGAGCAGAGGUCUCUUCUCCAUGCUUCAGAGGAGAGUCAGCAGCCUCAGAAGACACCAGGACUCUGUCAAACUGAUAUACAGCAAAGCUAUGGGCCAAGACACCUCCCUCCUAGAAAAUAACUUCAUAGAUGACCUCCUGGAAGAGGACCUAGAUGACAUCUAUGACAGCAUCCACUACAGCUCUGACGAGGAAUCUAUCACAGACUGAAGGUGUUCGUUUGGGUGGGUGCAGUUUGCACGGGGUAAAAAGUGAUUCCAUUUGUUUUGCAUAUGUGCUUUAUCUGCCUUCCUAAGGAAAAAUAGUUUGAACACUUUAUGGAAAAUAAUGUUUAUUCCUUGUUGACAAUGUGAUCAUGUGGCACAGAUUUGAGAAGGGCGCUCGUCUGUUACUGCUUUUGCCCGGUUACAUGACCAGGUCCGAUGCACCCCUUUAAAAUGGCCAAUCUGCAGUUGCUACAUCCACUUUUGGAUUCUUUAAGAAUAUAAUUUAUAAAUGCCUCAUGAAUAUAGUUCACCUGCCGUACCCCGUCAGAUCCCAAAAUAUAUAUUUUUUUCUACUCGAAUGUUUGACUUUGUUUACAAUGUAAACAUACGAGCGUGUGUCAAAACUCAUUCCACGGGUGAGCCGAGUGUCUGCGCUCCUCCCAUAAUUGAUUAAUUAAGGUCACUAAUUAGUAAGGAACUCCCCUCACCUGGUUGGUUAGGUCUUAAUUGAAAGGAAAAAACAAAAACCAGCAGACACUAGGCUCUCCAUGGAAUGAGAUUGACACCACUGGACUAUAGCCGCGAAACAUGGUUUAAACUAUGGUUACAUUUCUCCAUCCCCAUCCCUCUGCUUUUUACAGAACCACUGGUGGGGAGAACGAUUUAUUGUUUCACCUGGUGAUUUCCGAUUUAAACAUUGUUAAAGUCCCUCUGUUGCCAUUGAUUUAGCUUCUUCUGGGGUCUUCUUUUACUGGAAUACCAUAAUAUGAAGGUGUCACACAAUCUUUGACAGCUAUGAGUUCACAUUAAUGUUAAGAUAUAGACCAGACGCUUUGGAAAAGGAUUGUAUCACAUUGAUCGAUAUGGGAAUUUGGUUAGCGUCUUUCAGAUAGUGUAGAAUCUGCCAGCUGGCUUAUAAUGAUUUCUUUACCAGCUAUGGAAAUACCUUGUACAGGACAUUUAUUUAAAGAAUUUGCAAGAAGUUGGGUGAUUAAUAAAACAGGUACGGAGAGAGGACAACUUUGCCUAAUUCCUCUCUUUAACUCAAA
Molecule: long non-coding RNA, 4933 nt
Organism: Oncorhynchus kisutch (coho salmon)
Lineage: Eukaryota; Metazoa; Chordata; Actinopteri; Salmoniformes; Salmonidae
Exons: 12
Source: RefSeq, a predicted model, not a curated record